GCCCUUGUGGCGGAAUCGGUAGACGCGUUGGACUUAAAAUCCAAUCGGGGUUCACCCUCGGUGCCAGUUCAAGUCUGGCCAAGGGCA
RNAcentral lists this transfer RNA (87 nucleotides) under bacterium. RNAcentral's name for it is "tRNA-Leu". It matches the Rfam family "tRNA". From Rfam's summary of the family: Transfer RNA (tRNA) molecules are approximately 80 nucleotides in length. Their secondary structure includes four short double-helical elements and three loops (D, anti-codon, and T loops). The record is from RNAcentral. RNAcentral also lists the same sequence under 3 other names.